RNAcentral lists this ribosomal RNA (764 nucleotides) under uncultured microeukaryote. RNAcentral's name for it is "SSU rRNA". It matches the Rfam family "Eukaryotic small subunit ribosomal RNA", at positions 154 to 956 of the family's 1831-position model. The record is from RNAcentral.
AAUUCUAGAGCUAAUACAUGCUGGUUAGCCUGACUUUUGAGGAAGGGCCGUAUUUAUUAGAUAACAAACCAAUAUUCCCCGUGUCUAUUGUGAUGACUCAUAAUAACUGAUCGAAUCGCAUGGGCCUUGCCCGCGAUACAUCAUUCAAGUUUCUGCCCCAUCAGCUUUCGAUGGUAGUGUAUUGGACUACCAUGGCUUUCACGGGUAACGGAGGAUUAGGGUUCGAUUCCGGAGAGGGAGCCUGAGAAACGGCUACCACAACUAAGGAAGGCAGCAGGCGCGUAAAUUACUCAAUCCUGAUUCAGGGAGGUAGUGACAAGAAAUAACGGACCGAGGCUUUUGUCUCGGGAUUGCAAUGAGUAGAAUUUAAACCCCUUUACGAGGAUCAAUUGGAGGGCAAGUCUGGUGCCAGCAGCCGCGGUAAUUCCAGCUCCAAUAGCGUAUAUUAAAGUUGUUGCAGUUAAAAAGCUCGUAGUUGGAUUUCUGAGGGGGUGCCAAUGUCCGCAUGUUGCGUGUGCAGCGGGGCCCCCUCAUCCUUCUGUUAACGUUUCUGAUAUUCAUUUAUUGGUCUCGGGCUCAGAUAUUUUACCUUGAGAAAUUAGAGUGUUCCAGGCAGGCUUGCGCCGGAUACAUUAGCAUGGAUAUAGAUAGGACUUUAGUCUCCUUUGUGGUUUGAGGACUGAGUAUGAUUAAUAGGAUAGUGGGGCAUAGUAUUAUUGUCAGAGUGAAUCUCGGAUUUGUAAAGACUACUAUGCGAAGCAUUG